UCAAGCUAAAAAGGGCGCAAGGUGAAUGCCUUGGCACUGGGAGCCGAUGAAAGACGUGGUAAGCUGCGAAAAGCUUCGGGGAGGAGCAAACAUCCAUUGAUCCGGAGAUAUCUGAAUGGGGCAACCCAAUGGAGUUCAUACUCCAUUAUCCAAUACUGAAUCCAUAGGUAUUGGAAGGGAACCGCCUGAACUGAAACAUCUAAGUAGGGCGAGGAAGAGACAUCAAACGAGAUUCCGUAAGUAGUGGCGAGCGAACGCGGAAGAGGGCAAACCGAGAGGAGAAAUCCUUUCGGGGUACGGACUGCUUUUAGGACUGAAAGAGUUAACAGAAUGGCAUGGGAAGGCCAACCGAAGAGUGUGAGAGUCACGUAAGUAAAAAUUCUGACAGCUGCGCAGGAUCCAGAGUACGGCCAGACACGUGAAACCUGGUCGGAAUACGGGGGGACCACCCUCCAACCCUAAAUACUACCCAGUGACCGAUAGCGUAUAGUACUGUGAAGGAAAGGUGAAAAGGACCCCGGGAGGGGAGUGAAAGAGAACCUGAAACCUUGUGCCUACAAGCACAUAGAGCCCGUCAAAGGGUGAUAUGGUACUUUUUGUAGAACGGUCCGGCGAGCGAUUGUACGUUGCGAGCUUAAGGUCUUAAGGACUGGAGGCGUAGCGAGAGCGAGUCUAAACAGGGCGUUUAGUAGCGUGCAAUGGGCCCGAAACCGGGUGACCUACCCAUGAUCAGGCUGAAGUGAAAGUAAAAUUUCAUGGAGGGCCGAACCGACCUCCGUUGAAAAGGCGGCGGAUGAAUUGUGGGUAGCGGAGAAAUUCCAAUCGAACUCGGAGAUAGCUGGUUCUCCCCGAAAUAGCUUUAGGGCUAGCCUCAUGUUAGAUAUCCGGAGGUAAAGCACUGAAUGGCCUAGCGUCCGAGAGGAUAGCGAAGCCUAUCAAACUAAGAAUGCCGGAAUAUUGAUGCAUGGGAGUCAGACAGUGUGAGAUAAAUCUCAUUGUCAAAAGGGAAACAGCCCAGAUCUACAGCUAAGGUCCCAAAUUGUAUCUAAGUGGAAAACGAUGUGGAAAUACGCAGACAACCAGGAUGUUGGCUCAGAAGCAGCCACUCAUUUAAAGAGUGCGUAAUAGCUCACUGGUCGAGCGUCUCUGCGCGGAAAAUUUAACGGGGCUAAGAUACAAACCGAAGCUUAGGCUGCACUUUUAGUGCGGGGUAGGGGAGCGUUGUGUAAGCGGAGAAACAGUAGCGUAAGCGGCUGUGGAGUUUACAGAAGUGAGAAUGCCGGAAUGAGUAGCGCGAAUGAUGUGAGAAUCAUCAUGGCCGGAAACCUCAGGUUUUUGGAGGAAGGUUCGUCCGCUCCAAGUUAGGCGGGAGCUAAGGUGAGGCCGAAAGGCGUAGCCGAUGCACAGACGGUAGAGAUUCCGUCCCCACCGAAAGAUUUAAGCGCAGGGACACUUUUAGAAGGUCGGAGCCAGGUGUUGGUUCUGGUAGAGAUCGAGGGAAAUUUAGUACCGAAGUCCGGCUGGAUAAGAGGCGAGAAAAGCUGCGUGUAUAUCUAAGGUGCCCGUACCGCAAACCGACACAGGUAGGUAGGAAGAAGAUUCUAAGGCCAACGGGAGAAGGGUUGUUAAGGAACUCGGCAAGUUGACCCCGUAACUUCGGAAUAAGGGGUGCUCAUGAAAGUGAGCCGCAGAGAAUAGGCCCAGGCAACUGUUUACCAAAAACACAGGUUUGUGCUAAAUCGAAAGAUGACGUAUACGAGCUGACGCCUGCCCGGUGCUGGAAGGUUAAAAGGAGAUGUGCAAGCAUUGAAUUGAAGCCCCAGUGAACGGCGGCCGUAACUAUAACGGUCCUAAGGUAGCGAAAUUCCUUGUCAGGUAAG
Molecule: ribosomal RNA, 1880 nt
Filed under: human gut metagenome
Description: bacterial LSU rRNA
Rfam family: Bacterial large subunit ribosomal RNA
Source: RNAcentral